CGACCCGUCUUGUAACACGGACCAAGGAGUCUAACAUMUMUGCGAGUAUUUUGGGUGUCAAACCCAAGUGCGCAAUGAAAGUGAAUGUAGGAGGGGAUCCGCAAGGAGCACCUUCGACCGAUCUGGAUCUUUAGUGAUGGAUUUGAGUAAGAGCAUAUAUGUUGGGACCCGAAAGAUGGUGAACUAUGCCUGAAUAGGGCGAAAGCCAGAGGAAACUCUGGUGGAGGCUCG
RNAcentral lists this ribosomal RNA (231 nucleotides) under uncultured fungus. RNAcentral's name for it is "partial 28S ribosomal RNA". It matches the Rfam family "Eukaryotic large subunit ribosomal RNA", at positions 645 to 877 of the family's 3401-position model. The record is from RNAcentral. Lineage: Eukaryota; Fungi.